CACGUAGGGCGCGAGCGUUGUCCGGAAUUAUUGGGCGUAAAGAGCUCGUAGGCGGCCUGUUGCGUCCGCUGUGAAAGCCCGGGGCUUAACCCCGGGUCGGCAGUGGAUACGGGCAGGCUAGAGGUAGGUAGGGGAGAAUGGAAUUCCCGGUGUAGCGGUGAAAUGCGCAGAUAUCGGGAGGAACACCGGUGGCGAAGGCGGUUCUCUGGGCCUUACCUGACGCUGAGGAGCGAAAGCGGGGGGAGCGAACAGG
Molecule: ribosomal RNA, 253 nt
Filed under: uncultured bacterium
Lineage: Bacteria
Description: partial 16S ribosomal RNA
Rfam family: Bacterial small subunit ribosomal RNA
Source: RNAcentral